Molecule: non-coding RNA, 28 nt
Filed under: Bombyx mori (domestic silkworm)
Lineage: Eukaryota; Metazoa; Arthropoda; Insecta; Lepidoptera; Bombycidae
Source: RNAcentral
UCGCGGAGGAAUUCGAAAAUUUGAUCGC